GAUGAACGCUGGCGGCGUGCCUAAUACAUGCAAGUCGAGCGAACGGACGAGAAGCUUGCUUUUCUGAUGUUAGCGGCGGACGGGUGAGUAACACGUGGAUAACCUACCUAUAAGACUGGGAUAACUUCGGGAAACCGGAGCUAAUACCGGAUAAUAUUUUGAACCGCAUGGUUCAAAAGUGAAAGACGGUCUUGCUGUCACUUAUAGAUGGAUCCGCGCUGCAUUAGCUAGUUGGUAAGGUAACGGCUUACCAAGGCAACGAUGCAUAGCCGACCUGAGAGGGUGAUCGGCCACACUGGAACUGAGACACGGUCCAGACGCCUACGGGAGGCAGCAGUAGGGAAGCUUCCGCAAUGGGCGAAAGCCUGACGGAGCAACGCCGCGUGAGUGAUGAAGGUCUUCGGAUCGUAAAACUCUGUUAUUAGGGAAGAACAUAUGUGUAAGUAACUGUGCACAUCUUGACGGUACCUAAUCAGAAAGCCACGGCUAACUACGUG
This 497-nucleotide ribosomal RNA is filed under the name uncultured bacterium. RNAcentral describes it as "partial 16S ribosomal RNA". It matches the Rfam family "Bacterial small subunit ribosomal RNA", at positions 28 to 507 of the family's 1533-position model. The record is from RNAcentral.